This 857-nucleotide ribosomal RNA is filed under the name Vargamyces aquaticus. RNAcentral's name for it is "partial 28S ribosomal RNA". It matches the Rfam family "Eukaryotic large subunit ribosomal RNA", at positions 55 to 929 of the family's 3401-position model. The record is from RNAcentral. Lineage: Eukaryota; Fungi; Ascomycota; Dothideomycetes; Pleosporales; Amniculicolaceae.
GGAAAAGAAACCAACAGGGAUUGCCCUAGUAACGGCGAGUGAAGCGGCAACAGCUCAAAUUUGAAAUCUGGCUCCCUUGGGGGUCCGAGUUGUAAUUUGUAGAGGGUGCUUUGGUAUUAGCUGUGGUCUAAGACCCUUGGAACAGGGCGUCACAGAGGGUGAGAAUCCCGUAUGUGGCCAGCAGCUCUUGCCUUGUAAAGCCCCUUCGACGAGUCGAGUUGUUUGGGAAUGCAGCUCUAAAUGGGAGGUAAAUUUCUUCUAAAGCUAAAUACUGGCCAGAGACCGAUAGCGCACAAGUAGAGUGAUCGAAAGAUGAAAAGCACUUUGGAAAGAGAGUCAAAAAGCACGUGAAAUUGUUGAAAGGGAAGCGCUUGCAGCCAGACUUGCCCGUAGUUGUUCAUCCAGGCUCUUGCCUGGUGCACUCUUCUGCGGGCAGGCCAGCAUCAGUCCAGGCGGUCGGAUAAAGGCCUUGGGAAUGUGGCUCCUUUCGGGGAGUGUUAUAGCCCAGGGUGCCAUGCGGCCAGCCUGAACUGAGGUCCGCGCUUCUGCUAGGAUGCUGGCGUAAUGGCUGUAAGCGGCCCGUCUUGAAACACGGACCAAGGAGUCUAACAUCUAUGCGAGUGUUUGGGUGUCAAGCCCGAGCGCGCAAUGAAAGUGAACGGAGGUGGGAACCCCUUGGGGUGCACCAUCGACCGAUCCUGAUGUCUUCGGAUGGAUUUGAGUAAGAGCAUAGCUGUUGGGACCCGAAAGAUGGUGAACUAUGCCUGAAUAGGGUGAAGCCAGAGGAAACUCUGGUGGAGGCUCGCAGCGGUUCUGACGUGCAAAUCGAUCGUCAAAUUUGGGCAUAGGGGCGAAAG